GUGGGGAAUCUUCCACAAUGGACGAAAGUCUGAUGGAGCAACGCCGCGUGAGUGAAGAAGGGUUUCGGCUCGUAAAGCUCUGUUGUCGGGGACGAAUGUGCAGUAUUUGAAUAAAGUAUUGCAAUGACGGUACCUGACGAGGAAGCCACGGCUAACUACGUGCCAGCAGCCGCGGUAAUACGUAGGUGGCAAGCGUUGUCCGGAAUUAUUGGGCGUAAAGGGAGCGCAGGCGGGAAGGUAAGUCGGUCUUAAAAGUGCGGGGCUCAACCCCGUGAUGGGAUCGAAACUAUCUUUCUUGAGUGCAGGAGAGGAAAGUGGAAUUCCUAGUGUAGCGGUGAAAUGCGUAGAUAUUGGGAGGAACACCAGUGGCGAAGGCGGCCUGCUGGACAUUAACUGACGCUGAGGCGCGAAAGCGUGGGGAGCAAACAGGAUUAGAUACCCCGGUAGUCC
RNAcentral lists this ribosomal RNA (450 nucleotides) under uncultured bacterium. Its description in RNAcentral is "partial 16S ribosomal RNA". It matches the Rfam family "Bacterial small subunit ribosomal RNA", at positions 354 to 796 of the family's 1533-position model. The record is from RNAcentral.